UUCACGUAUUGUAAAGCAAUCAAGCAACUCCCCCUUCUAUUUCCCUUUCCAGAAUUCACUUACAGAGUUGAGUAAGAGGUUCAACCGUUCUUGGUUUCUACAAAAGGUACGCGUCGGAUUAUCGAUUUUGUCUCUUGAUUAAUUUUUUAAAUAAUUUUCACUCGUUUCUCUUUCUGGGUUAGCCAAAUAAUAAUUUUUGAUCUAAUUGGGAUUAAUUUAGCUUUCUUUGAUUCAUCGUAAUAAUACUAUUUAAAUUAUCAGCAUAGUUUUGUGCUUUUGUGAGUACAUAGGAUUUGGGAAAUUAACUUGAUUUAAAUUGUAAACCUUUUAUCAAAAACUAUAUACAAGGAAUUAGUUUUAACAGUAAUCUAAUUUUUAAAAGUAUAGAUAAAUAAUAUUUUUUAUUUAGUGGUUGGAAAUCACGAAUAAAAAACUGAAAUUCAGAAAAUAUGAUUUAAUUAUAUUUUGGCAAUUGAAUUGAAGAUUUGAUUAGAAAUAUAAAUAUUUAUGCCUCCUAAUUGAUUAAAUUUUUUUUAAAUAAGAAAUUUUCGUUAUUGUUGCUCACACUUUUAAGAAUUAUUUUGAUUAUUAUGGGUACUAACUAGGAAGAAUGGUUCACUAUUGUUUCUUCAUCAAGUGCAGGAGAGUACACAAGAAAGAUUUGAAGAUGGAGUAUGUGUUCUAUAUAUCAUUUCCAGUUAUACUAUUCAUCUUAAUCGUAGCCAUUGCUUGUUACUUGAUUGGUAGGAAUAGGGGUCGAUAAUAAUCUACUAGACUUUCCUCAGGUCUAUGGUCCACCUACACCCACACCUCCCAAGUAGAAUUAAUUCAACUUCUUUUAGAAUAAAGCUGGUUUGCCCAAAAAUUUUGACACCUUGGUUGAUCGACUCUCGCAUUGCGCGUGGGUCUUGCUUGAAUUAAAAAAUGUCCAACUCCCCAUGUGUGUAUAUUCGAUCAUCCCCUAUGUUAGUGCUGCAAAACUCCUUUUAAUUUGCUUCUCGUGACUUUGCUUUUGUAAUAAAACACAUAUUUAAGGUUCUCUCUUUAAAGGAAUGGAUGGGUUGUUUUAGUGGGUAUUACUUGAGUAAAUUGACAGAAUUCAAGAAAUUUGGACAUAAUGCCACAUAAAUACUUUCGUAAGAAAUAUUUUAAAUUUUAAUGUAAGUAUAUAUUCAAAAUAGUAAGUAACAAUAUCCGAGUAACAUAGCACAUUAAUUGUGAAAUACUUUUAAAGAAUGGCUAGUAAUUUGUCACAUUUGCAUAAUUGUACGUAUUCAAGUGACUUCUAUGUGUGCUUUCUCAUUUGCGCAUCAAUGAAUUGUGAAUAAUAGAAAUUAAUGACCCGUAGGGGCGGCCAGUCAUAAUCGAAAUAAUAGAGCUGGAUUUGGUGUAUCAUAAUGCCUAUUUGCCC
RNAcentral lists this long non-coding RNA (1411 nucleotides) under Olea europaea subsp. europaea. The record is from RNAcentral. Lineage: Eukaryota; Viridiplantae; Streptophyta; Magnoliopsida; Lamiales; Oleaceae.